This 450-nucleotide ribosomal RNA is filed under the name uncultured bacterium. RNAcentral describes it as "partial 16S ribosomal RNA". It matches the Rfam family "Bacterial small subunit ribosomal RNA", at positions 338 to 795 of the family's 1533-position model. The record is from RNAcentral.
CCUACGGGAGGCUGCAGUGGGGAAUUUUGGACAAUGGGGGCAACCCUGAUCCAGCCAUUCCGCGUGAGUGAAGAAGGCCUUCGGGUUGUAAAGCUCUUUCGGCCGGGAAGAAAUCGCAUCUCCUAAUACGGGGUGUGGAUGACGGUACCGGAAGAAGAAGCACCGGCUAACUACGUGCCAGCAGCCGCGGUAAUACGUAGGGUGCGAGCGUUAAGGGGAAUUACUGGGCGCGAAUCAUGAAGAGGGGGCUGAAAUCCCCGGGCUUAACCUGGGAACUGCGUUUGGGACUGGUGGGCUUGAGUGCGGCAGAGGGGGGUGGAAUUCCACGUGUAGCAGGGAAAUGCGUAGAGAUGUGGAGGAACACCGAUGGCGAAGGCAGCCCCCUGGGUCGACACUGACGCUCAUGCACGAAAGCGUGGGGAGCAAACAGGAUUAGAUACCCGAGUAGUC